AUACGUAGGGUGCGAGCGUUGUCCGGAAUUACUGGGCGUAAAGAGCUCGUAGGUGGUUUGUCGCGUCGUCUGUGAAAUUCCGGGGCUUAACUCCGGGCGUGCAGGCGAUACGGGCAUAACUUGAGUACUGUAGGGGAGACUGGAAUUCCUGGUGUAGCGGUGAAAUGCGCAGAUAUCAGGAGGAACACCGGUGGCGAAGGCGGGUCUCUGGGCAGUAACGGACGCUGAGGAGCGAAAGAAUGGGUAGCGAACAGGAUUAGAUACCCUGGUAGUCCAUGCCGUAAACGGUGGGCGCUAGGUGUAGGGGUCUUCCACGACUUCUGUGCCGUAGCUAACGCAUUAAGCGCCCCGCCUGGGGAGUACGGCCGCAAGGCUAAAACUCAAAGGAAUUGACGGGG
RNAcentral lists this ribosomal RNA (398 nucleotides) under uncultured bacterium. RNAcentral describes it as "partial 16S ribosomal RNA". It matches the Rfam family "Bacterial small subunit ribosomal RNA", at positions 523 to 918 of the family's 1533-position model. The record is from RNAcentral.